Ribosomal RNA from Cavia aperea (Brazilian guinea pig), 107 nucleotides. The record is from Ensembl. Lineage: Eukaryota; Metazoa; Chordata; Mammalia; Rodentia; Caviidae.
GUCUAUGGCCAUACCACUCUGAACACACCUGAUCUCGUCAGAUCUCGGAAGCUAAGCAGGGUCGGGCCUGGUUAGUACUUGGAUGGGAGAUGUCAGGCCUAAAAAUA